RNAcentral lists this ribosomal RNA (504 nucleotides) under uncultured bacterium. RNAcentral's name for it is "partial 16S ribosomal RNA". It matches the Rfam family "Bacterial small subunit ribosomal RNA", at positions 28 to 507 of the family's 1533-position model. The record is from RNAcentral.
AACGAACGCUGGCAGCGUGGAUUAGGCAUGCAAGUCGAACGGGAUCCGGAAGGUAGCAAUACCGGCCGGUGAGAGUGGCGGAAGGGCGAGGAGCACGUGUACAACCUGUCCCGUUGGUGGGGAUACCGUCCCGAAAGGGGCGUUAAUACCGAAUGGGUCCCCUGACCGCAUGGUCCGGCGGCCCAAGGCGGGGACCGCAAGGCCCCCCCCCCCGGCAGGGGUCCGCGCACGAUCAGCUAGACGGCGGGGUAACGGCCCACCGUGGCUUACGGUUAGCUGGUCUGAGAGGACGACCAGCCGCACUGGGACUGAGACACUGCCCAGACUCCUACGGGAGGCUGCAGUCGAGGAUCAUUCGCAAUGGGCGAAAGCCUGACGAUGCGACGCGGCGUGGAGGAUGAAGGCCCUCGGGUCGUAAACUCCUGUCAUGGGGGGCGAGGCGGAGGCGGUUAACGGCCGCCCGAGUUGACGGUACCCCAAGAGGAAGCCACGGCUAACUCUGUG